This 253-nucleotide ribosomal RNA is filed under the name uncultured bacterium. Its description in RNAcentral is "partial 16S ribosomal RNA". It matches the Rfam family "Bacterial small subunit ribosomal RNA", at positions 524 to 776 of the family's 1533-position model. The record is from RNAcentral.
UACGUAGGGUGCAAGCGUUGUCCGGAAUUAUUGGGCGUAAAGAGCUCGUAGGCGGUCUGUCGCGUCGGCUGUGAAAACUCGGGGCUCAACUCCGAGCUUGCAGUCGAUACGGGCAGGCUAGAGUUCGGCAGGGGAGACUGGAAUUCCUGGUGUAGCGGUGAAAUGCGCAGAUAUCGGGAGGAACACCUGUGGCGAAAGCGGCAUACUGGACCAUAACUGACGCUGAGGCGCGAAAGCUAGGGGAGCAAACAGG